CGUAGGGUGCGAGCGUUAAUCGGAAUUACUGGGCGUAAAGCGUGCGCAGGCGGUUUUGUAAGACAGGCGUGAAAUCCCCGGGCUCAACCUGGGAACUACGCUUGUGACUGCAAGGCUAGAGUACGGCAGAGGGGGUGGAAUUCCACGUGUAGCAGUGAAAUGCGUAGAGAUUUGGAGGAACACCAAUGGCGAAGGCAGCCCCCUGGGUCGAUACUGACGCUCAUGCACGAAAGCGUGGGUAGCAAACAGGAUUAGAUACCCUGGUAGUCCACGCCCUAAACGAUGUCAACUAGGUGUUGGGUGGGUAAAACCAUUUAGUACCGGAGCUAACGCGUGAAGUUGACCGCCUGGGGAGUACGGCCGCAAGGUUA
This 371-nucleotide ribosomal RNA is filed under the name uncultured organism. Its description in RNAcentral is "bacterial SSU rRNA". It matches the Rfam family "Bacterial small subunit ribosomal RNA", at positions 526 to 896 of the family's 1533-position model. The record is from RNAcentral.